Molecule: long non-coding RNA, 2122 nt
Organism: Biomphalaria glabrata
Lineage: Eukaryota; Metazoa; Mollusca; Gastropoda; Planorbidae
Exons: 4
Source: RefSeq, a predicted model, not a curated record
CGAAUGCAGUGAAUACUCAGUGAUUAUAGUUUAUACUGAUUAUACUUAUAGAUCUACCAGUUGAUAAUCAUCAUCAUCAUAGAUAAUAAUCUAGACUAGUAUUCUAGAUCUAUAAAUAAUCAUAGUCACCGUGAUAGUGCCCUUUUUAGUCAAUGUAGUCAAGUCAAGAUAGUGGAACGUAAACUCGAAGGUUUAAUACAAUACAGUAUAAGCUAUGAUUAUUAACAAGUAGAACCAUGCCAACCAGUUCUGAUGAUGUACCAGAAUGGCUCAAGGAUCAUACUUAUACUAUUUCUACUCUCUGGGCAGACAUUAAUAAUAUUGGCAUCCAUUCAAUAUUUAUUUUAUGUUUGGAAAUGGAAGAAAAAGGCAUGCAUUCCUGACAAGUCAAUGAUUGGUUGCACCUCUAAAGAUAACUUUCUGUUAUGAGAAAAGAUGAGAUUCUUGGACUCCUGCAUAGCACCACCAGAAAGGAUAAUCCCAUCAUGUUGCAAAAUAAAAGUCUUGGACCAAUUUUAAUUUAAGAUAUAUAUAUUAUACUGUAAGCUCUAUACAUAUUUAUGUGUAUCCUGUCAUUCAGCCAACAGGUUUGGAUUUAGUAUUUCUUUAAAUCUGUUUGAUAUUGUACUUGAAAACUAUUAAUCUGAGCCCCAUUAAAACAAUAGGGAGUGCAGUGAAUGAGUGGUAAAGCACUUGGCUUCUGAACUGAGGGUUCCUGGGUUCGAUUAAGACUGGGAUUUUCAAUUUCAGAAUUCAAAAGGCUAGGGAUACAUGGCAAUAGUAAGGAAUAAGUAAAGGCAGUUUGGGGAUCCAUGGCUGAAUGGUUAAGUCAUGGGUUUGAAUCUCUGUUAAGACUCAGAUUAAAAAUUUUUUUAGAUUUUUGGGUGCCCCUGAGUCCACCUAACUCUAAUGGGUAGCUGACUUUCAUUUUGGAAAGUAAAGAUGGUUGGUUGUUGUGCUGGCCACAUGAUGCACUGGCCAAAGAAUCAAAUGACCCUAUAGAUUGUGACGUCUGAAAUGGGAUUUUUUUUUCAAAAGGUGGUUGGUUGUUGUGCUGGGUACAUGACACCCUCGCUAACCAUGGGGCACAGAAACUGAUAAACUUUAUAUCAUCUGCCCCAUAGAUUGCAAGAUAUGUAAGGGAAAUUUUACUUUUUUAAAAUUAAAAUAAGAAUCUAUCAAAAGUAAACAUAAAAUAUGGUGCAUUCUCCUUAAAACUAAAACCUGGUGCGAAGGUUUAAAAUGUUGGCAAAAAAAAGCAACAUCAUAUAUUCUUAAUUCCCUUUGCAAAACUUACUGAGAAGAAUAUGCAUGUUGUUCCCUCAUAAGUUUCUUGACAGAGGAAAUCUUGUUUAUAUUAGAUUUGAAUUAAGAAAAAAAUUAUAAUCAUUAUUUCAAAUGGUUGUAUCUAAACCUUUUAUGAAUUAUUUUUCAGUCAUAAGUAUAUUGAGAUUAAUGGAUAAUCAUGAAAUUGUUAAAUAAUUGCUGCUAUCAUUCCAUUGACUAAAGAACCAUAAUUUUUUUUUUUUUUAAUUAAUUUCAAAAUGAUAUUUUUCAAGCAUAGAGUUCACAUAGAUCUUGAGUGAAUUUUUUUUUUAUUUGACUAAUGCUUCAAUUUUAUUGUAUCAUAUUAGUUGUUAAUUUUUAUUACCCAGAAUAAUGCCUGUACUUCAGAAUAUUUAAAAAAUGAGUACACUAUUUUCAUGUAAUAAUGUAACUUGGUAUUCACACAAUGCUCAAAAUACACCAUAAUCUUUAGGCCAUACAGAUUUGUAUAAAUUAACUUGUUUAAAUACAUUGUAAAUGUAUAUUGUUUGGAUAAGAAUAAAGUUUUUCUGUAGACAAUUAUUGUUCAAGAUUUGUUGAUGCUCCUGCUAAAUCAAUUAUAUAUACAGGUCAUUAGUUUUAACACGUCUGAUAAUAAAUGACAGUACAAGUUAGUGAAUGAAAAUUUGUCAUUAUUUCAGCUGCUUUAGUCCUACAUCAAUGUGAGGUACCAGUACUUUGAUUGUGUCAUAUAACAAUUUAAAGCAACAUUUUGAAAUGAAUAGUCUGUAGAAUUGACAGUAAAUACAUUUAAGUGAUGGGCUGUGAUCUGCGUGAAUUGAGAGCUGAUAAUGUA